RNAcentral lists this ribosomal RNA (446 nucleotides) under uncultured bacterium. RNAcentral describes it as "SSU rRNA". It matches the Rfam family "Bacterial small subunit ribosomal RNA", at positions 26 to 518 of the family's 1533-position model. The record is from RNAcentral.
AGAGCGAACGCUGGCGGCAGGCCUAAAACAUGCAAGUCGAACGAGCCCUUCGGGGCUAGUGGCGGACGGGUGAGUAACACGUGGGAACGUGCCUUUUGGUUCGGAACAACUCAGGGAAACUUGAGCUAAUACCGAAUGUGCCCUUCGGGGGAAAGAUUUAUCGCCAUUAGAGCGGCCCGCGUCUGAUUAGCUAGUUGGUAGGGUAAAGGCCUACCAAGGCUUCGAUCAGUAGCUGGUCUGAGAGGAUGAUCAGCCACACUGGGACUGAGACACGGCCCAGACUCCUACGGGAGGCAGCAGUUAGGAAUCUUGCGCAAUGGGCGAAAGCCUGACGCAGCCAUGCCGCGUGAAUGAUGAAGGUCUUAGGAUUGUAAAAUUCUUUCAGCGGGGACGAUAAUGACGGUACCCGCAGAAGAAGCUCCGGCUAACUUCGUGCCAGCAGCCGC